Molecule: ribosomal RNA, 383 nt
Filed under: uncultured Anaerolineaceae bacterium
Lineage: Bacteria; Bacillati; Chloroflexota; Anaerolineae; Anaerolineales; Anaerolineaceae
Description: bacterial SSU rRNA
Rfam family: Bacterial small subunit ribosomal RNA
Source: RNAcentral
AUGUAAGUGGUAGUGAUCUGAAAAGUGAACGACCCUUCGGGGAGCUUACACAGGUGCUGCAUGGCUGUCGUCAGCUCGUGUCGUGAGAUGUCGGUUAAGUCCGCUAACGAGCGCAACCUCACUGUGUGUUACAUGUGUCACACGGGACUGCCGGUUUUUAAGCCGGAGGAAGGCGAGCGAUGACGUCAAGUCAGCAUGGCCUUUAUAUCUUGGGCUACACACACGCUACAAUGGUCUGUACAAUAGGUUGCCAAGCCGCGAGGCGGAGCCAAUCCUUAAAGCAGGCCUCAGUUCAGAUUGCAGGCUGCAACCCGCCUGCAUGAAGAUGGAGUUGCUAGUAACCGCAGGUCAGCUAUACUGCGGUGAAUACGUUCCCGGGUCUU